CGUUGGGAGCUUGCUCCCUUCGUUUAGCGGCGGACGGGUGAGUAACACGUGGGCAACCUGCCCUGCAGAUCGGGAUAACUCCGGGAAACCGGUGCUAAUACCGAAUAGUUUUUUGCCCCUCCUGGGGCGGAACGGAAAGACGGUUUCGGCUGUCACUGCAGGAUGGGCCCGCGGCGCAUUAGCUAGUUGGUGGGGUAACGGCCCACCAAGGCGACGAUGCGUAGCCGACCUGAGAGGGUGAUCGGCCACACUGGGACUGAGACACGGCCCAGACUCCUACGGGAGGCAGCAGUAGGGAAUCUUCCGCAAUGGACGAAAGUCUGACGGAGCAAUGCCGCGUGAGUGACGAAGGUUUUCGGAUCGUAAAACUCUGUUGUAAGGGAAGAACAAGUACCAAGUAACUACUGGUACCUUGACGGUACCUUACCAGAAAGCCACGGCUAACUACGUGCCAGCAGCCGCGGUAAUACGUAGGUGGCAAGCGUUGUCCGGAAUUAUUGGGCGUAAAGCGCGCGCAGGCGGUCCCUUAAGUCUGAUGUGAAAGCCCACGGCUCAACCGUGGAGG
This 565-nucleotide ribosomal RNA is filed under the name Planococcus koreensis. Its description in RNAcentral is "bacterial SSU rRNA". It matches the Rfam family "Bacterial small subunit ribosomal RNA", at positions 70 to 621 of the family's 1533-position model. Lineage: Bacteria; Bacillati; Bacillota; Bacilli; Caryophanales; Caryophanaceae. The record is from RNAcentral.